CAACAACAGACUCGGUGAAAUUGUAAUUCCGGUGAAGAUGCCGGAUACCUGCGACAGGACGGAAAGACCCCAUGGAGCUUUACUGUAGCUUGACAUUGGGUCUUGGUACUACAUGUACAGGAUAGGUGGGAGGCUUUGAAACCAGGACGCCAGUUUUGGCGGAGCCAUCCUUGGGAUACCACCCUUGUAGUACUGGGACUCUAACCAUAGGCCAUGAAUCUGGUCUUGGGACACUGUCAGGUGGGCAGUUUGACUGGGGCGGUCGCCUCCCAAAAGGUAACGGAGGCGCUCAAAGGUUCUCUCAGUACGGUCGGAAAUCGUACGUAGAGUGUAAAGGCAAAAGAGAGCUUGAUUGCAAGACAUACAGGUCGAGCAAGGAUGAAAAUCGGACUUAGUGAUCCGGUGGUUCUGCGUGGAAGGGCCAUCGCUCAACGGAUAAAAGCUACCCUGGGGAUAACAGGCUUAUCUCCCCCAAGAGUCCACAUCGACGGGGAGGUUUGGCACCUCGAUGUCGGCUCAUCACAUCCUGGGGCUGUAGUAGGUCCCAAGGGUUGGGCUGUUCGCCCAUUAAAGUGGUACGCGAGCUGGGUUCAGAACGUCGUGAGACAGUUCGGUCCCUAUC
RNAcentral lists this ribosomal RNA (622 nucleotides) under Clostridioides difficile. Its description in RNAcentral is "bacterial LSU rRNA". It matches the Rfam family "Bacterial large subunit ribosomal RNA", at positions 2022 to 2642 of the family's 2925-position model. The record is from RNAcentral. Lineage: Bacteria; Bacillati; Bacillota; Clostridia; Peptostreptococcales; Peptostreptococcaceae.